CGGAGAGGGAGCACGUGACACGGCUACCACAUCCAAGGAAGGCAGCAGGCGCGCAAAUUACCCAAUCCCGACACGGGGAGGUAGUGACAAUAUGUAACAAUAUACGGCUUUAUUGUCGUAUAAUUGGAAUGAGUACAAUUUAAAUCCCUUAACGAGGAACAAUUGGAGGGCAAGUCUGGUGCCAGCAGCCGCGGUAAUUCCAGCUCCAAUAGCGUAUAUUAAAGUUGUUGCAGUUAAAAAGCUCGUAGUUGGACCUUGGGCCUGGACAGGCGGUCCGCCUCACGGCGUGUACUGUCUUGCUGGGCCUUUCCUCUUGGUGAUCUGUGGUUUCGGCCGCAGGGAACCAGGACCUUUACUUUGAAAAAAUUAGAGUGUUCAAAGCAGGCUUUACGCCAGAAUAUAUUAGCAUGGAAUAAUAAAAUAGGACGUGCGGUUCUAUUUUGUUGGUUUUUGGGAUCGCCGUAAUGAUUAAUAGGGACAGUCGGGGGCAUUAGUACUCACAUGCUAGAGGUGAAAUUCUUGGAUUUUGUGAAGACUAACUUCUGCGAAAGCAUUUGCCA
RNAcentral lists this ribosomal RNA (560 nucleotides) under uncultured organism. RNAcentral's name for it is "SSU rRNA". It matches the Rfam family "Eukaryotic small subunit ribosomal RNA", at positions 384 to 960 of the family's 1831-position model. The record is from RNAcentral.